RNAcentral lists this ribosomal RNA (253 nucleotides) under uncultured bacterium. Its description in RNAcentral is "partial 16S ribosomal RNA". It matches the Rfam family "Bacterial small subunit ribosomal RNA", at positions 524 to 776 of the family's 1533-position model. The record is from RNAcentral.
UACAGAGGUCCCGGGCGUUGUUCGGAUUCAUUGGGCGUAAAGGGUGCGUAGGCGGCGGGGUUAGUUUGAUGUGAAAUCCCGGGGCUCAACCCUGGAAUUGCAUUGAAUACUACCUUGCUAGAGUACCGGAGAGGAAACUGGAAUUUACGGUGUAGCAGUGAAAUGCGUAGAGAUCGUAAGGAAGACCAGUGGCGAAGGCGAGUUUCUGGACGGUAACUGACGCUGAGGCACGAAGGCCAGGGGAGCAAACGGG